This 327-nucleotide ribosomal RNA is filed under the name uncultured eukaryote. RNAcentral's name for it is "partial 18S ribosomal RNA". It matches the Rfam family "Eukaryotic small subunit ribosomal RNA", at positions 1470 to 1796 of the family's 1831-position model. The record is from RNAcentral.
CCCUUAGAUGUCCUGGGCCGCACGCGCGUUACACUGAUGCAUUCAACGAGCAUAUAACCUUGGCCGAGAGGCCUGGGUAAUCUUGUUAACAUGCAUCGUGAUAGGGAUAGAUUAUUGCAAUUAUUAAUCUUGAACGAGGAAUUCCUAGUAAUCGCAGUUCAUCAAACUGCAAUGAUUACGUCCCUGCCCUUUGUACACACCGCCCGUCGCACCUACCGAUUGAAUGGUCCGGUGAGGACUCGGGAUUGUGGUUUAGCUCCUUCAUUGGGGCCUGACUGCGAGAACUUGUCCGAACCUUAUCAUUUAGAGAAAGGUGAAGUCGUAACA